Molecule: ribosomal RNA, 244 nt
Filed under: uncultured bacterium
Lineage: Bacteria
Description: partial 16S ribosomal RNA
Rfam family: Bacterial small subunit ribosomal RNA
Source: RNAcentral
CGUGGGUAACCUGCCCAAGAGACUGGGAUAACACCUGGAAACAGAUGCUAAUACCGGAUAACAACACUAGACGCAUGUCUAGAGUUUAAAAGAUGGUUCUGCUAUCACUCUUGGAUGGACCUGCGGUGCAUUAGCUAGUUGGUAAGGUAACGGCUUACCAAGGCAAUGACGCAUAGCCGAGUUGAGAGACUGAUCGGCCACAUUGGGACUGAGACACGGCCCAAACUCCUACGGGAGGCAGCAG